Molecule: long non-coding RNA, 210 nt
Organism: Hordeum vulgare subsp. vulgare (domesticated barley)
Lineage: Eukaryota; Viridiplantae; Streptophyta; Magnoliopsida; Poales; Poaceae
Exons: 4
Source: RefSeq, a predicted model, not a curated record
UCAUCAUAGCUGCAGAGUUGCUCAAGAGCGCCAAUGAACUUGUGAGGAAUAAAAUCCAUCCGACCUCAAUUAUUAGUGGCUACAGGCUCGCUAUGCGUGAGGCUUGCAAGUAUGUCGAAGAAAAGCUCUCUGUCAAGGUUGAUAAACUUGGAAAAGAUUCCCUUGUUAACUGUGCAAAAACUAGCAUGUCUUCGAAAUUGAUUCACGGCG